Molecule: ribosomal RNA, 494 nt
Filed under: Klebsiella pneumoniae
Lineage: Bacteria; Pseudomonadati; Pseudomonadota; Gammaproteobacteria; Enterobacterales; Enterobacteriaceae
Description: bacterial SSU rRNA
Rfam family: Bacterial small subunit ribosomal RNA
Source: RNAcentral
AGUUUGAUCAUGGCUCAGAUUGAACGCUGGCGGCAGGCCUAACACAUGCAAGUCGAACGGUAGCACAGAGAGCUUGCUCUCGGGUGACGAGUGGCGGACGGGUGAGUAAUGUCUGGGAAACUGCCUGAUGGAGGGGGAUAACUACUGGAAACGGUAGCUAAUACCGCAUAACGUCGCAAGACCAAAGAGGGGGACCUUCGGGCCUCUUGCCAUCAGAUGUGCCCAGAUGGGAUUAGCUAGUAGGUGGGGUAACGGCUCACCUAGGCGACGAUCCCUAGCUGGUCUGAGAGGAUGACCAGCCACACUGGAACUGAGACACGGUCCAGACUCCUACGGGAGGCAGCAGUGGGGAAUAUUGCACAAUGGGCGCAAGCCUGAUGCAGCCAUGCCGCGUGUAUGAAGAAGGCCUUCGGGUUGUAAAGUACUUUCAGCGGGGAGGAAGGUGAUAAGGUUAAUAACCCUUGGCAAUUGACGUUACCCGCAGAAGAAGCACC